This 749-nucleotide long non-coding RNA is filed under the name Homo sapiens (human). Its description in RNAcentral is "HSALNT0380535". The record is from RNAcentral. Lineage: Eukaryota; Metazoa; Chordata; Mammalia; Primates; Hominidae.
CGGGCAGGACCGGAGCCAAAGGAUUAAUCCAUCACAAUGAGACGUUCUAUUCUGGGCAGGCGGCGCGAGCAGAUGCUGGGCGCCGGCGGAGGCAGCGUGCAGGGCUGGCGCUCACGCAGGCCGCCAGCACCCUGCGCUCCACCCCACCCUGCUCCCUAAUGAGAAGAGAGGAGCUGAACCCAGACAGCCGCUCCCUGUUGACGCCUUAGGCGUUUCAAAACUAGACUGGCCGGAGCCGAUGGAAUGUCUUGGUACCAUCACCAUUCCAUCCCAACCAUUUCUUGGAGACUUCCAUCCCUUCUUCUGAGAACUUCUCCUUGCCAACUCCAUCCACACAGCCACCAUAAGAGCUCUGUGUUAACACAGAGUGGCUCCAGCUCUUGGGCCGCAUUGUUGGGUACAGGAAUAGACCUCUCACUCAAGCGAAACCAAAGACCUGGCUCAGAAAACUUGGAAUCCCUACCAGGAGAUCCAAACUCAGCCUGGUUGUUCUACUGAUUUGAGAAAAUAUAAGUCUGGGAGCUGCUGUUGGCAAGCCACGUUUUCCUUCAUGGAGACUGGCAAACAAGGAAAGCUGGUCUGUGGCAGAGAGAGGAACAAGCCUGCAGAGAGGCACAGAGAUGUGAUACCAAGUGUAGUCCUGAGGCCCUGGGAGUCCCUGAUUUCAGUCCUUGGGAGAGUCAGCUGUACUUCUCUCCUUGAAUUAUUAAAUACCUGUGCAAUCCUUAUACUGCAUUCUCCCUUUUUUC